AUUGGAGCUUAGAUUCAUAUUGAAGCUCUCUGUCAAAAGAGUGGAUGAUGAAUUAAGUAUUGAAAUCAUGCUCUGUAAAAAGGAAUUAUAUGUUUUCCAUUUAUCUUGAUUUAUUAUAUGGCAUCAUGUGCUUAAGUAUAUGUAACCUUUCCAAAUUGAGUUGAUUUAAUAUUAGGGAGAAAUUGUUACAAAGGAAAAUUUGGUAUGUUUGGGAUUCUUUAUUUCUCUGCUUUAUUUUUAUAAAACUUUUAAAUACUCCAUGUUUUCUUAAUCUUACUAAAUUUUUUUUUUAAGUUGUAUUCCUGGAUAUAUGCAGUAACAUUUACAGGGCUCAUUAAAAAUGAAAGGGCUAUAUCACAAUUAAUAUUUCUCAUUCAAAUUCAAAUGUUUUCAUAUUAAAAAUAUAGAAAACUUUCAAUUUAUAUUAAAUAUAAGUUAACAGAAGGGUGAAUUUAGACUUCCACAAUGAUGGAUUGAAGAAUGAAUAUGUUUUGAAUUUUUGAAUUUAUCCUAAUUUCUGGAAAUUUAAGUGAAAACUCUACCACUGUGCUUAUUAUUGGAAAAUAGUAAUUAGAGGAAUAAACAAAUACCAACAGCAUUAUACUGGUCCCUGCUAUUUCUCCCCCACCUUAGCAACGUGGCAACAAAAUGAUUAAGAAGAGGAAAAACCCCAACUUUUAUUUCAUUGUUUCCUGAGGAGAUGACAUGUUAUUUCCUAGUCAUAGAGCACUGACUUUAUUUAUUUGUGUUUUCUUAAGUUUACUUUGUGGCAUACUUCGGAAGACCAGAAUCUGAACAAGCCAGUCUGAACAUUAACCAGCAUGAAAGUCAGGGGAGCAAAGUGAAGAAAUGAAACAUAUCUGAUGACCCUCUCCACUUUCCCUAGGGCCCAUCUGACGUUACAUCUUCUGUUUGCCCUCUGCUUGCUUUUCUUUUAUCUCACUAUAAAAUUUUUUGAAUGCAACUGUUCUGGAGUGCACAGAUAUAUAAAUGUCCUGGUAUGUUAAGACUUUAAGAUAUUUGUCUGCUGAAGAAAGAAUAAGAGAAAAGAACAAACAAAAAGAUCACAAAGGAUUCAAAUAAAUAUUCCUCAUUUAUUUAUUUU
Molecule: long non-coding RNA, 1105 nt
Filed under: Vulpes vulpes (red fox)
Lineage: Eukaryota; Metazoa; Chordata; Mammalia; Carnivora; Canidae
Description: lncRNA (ENSVVUG00000006144.1)
Source: RNAcentral